CCUACGGGUGGCAGCAGUGGGGAAUAUUGCGCCAUGGGCGAAAGCCUGACGCAGCGACGCCGCGUGAGGGAUGAAGGUCUUCGGAUCGUAAACCUCUGUCAGCAGGGAAGCACGGUCACUGUGCUAAUCAGCAGUGAAUUGACGGUACCUGCAAAGGAAGCACCGGCUAACUCCGUCCCAGCAGCCGCGGUAAUACGGAGGGUGCGAGCGUUAAUCGGAAUUACUGGGCGUAUAGCGCUCGUAGGCGGUAUGUCAAGUCACGGGUGAAAUGUCCGCGCUCAACGUGGGAACUGCCUGUGAAACUGGCAAACUGGAGUGUGUGAGAGGUGAGUGGAAUUCCAGGUGUAGGGGUGAAAUGCGUAGAUAUCUGGAGGAACAUCAGUGGCGAAGGCGACUAUCUGGCACAUAACUGACGCUGAGGAGCGAAAGCGUGGGUAGCAAACAGGAUUAGAUACCCGGGUAGUC
Molecule: ribosomal RNA, 465 nt
Filed under: uncultured bacterium
Lineage: Bacteria
Description: partial 16S ribosomal RNA
Rfam family: Bacterial small subunit ribosomal RNA
Source: RNAcentral